RNAcentral lists this ribosomal RNA (275 nucleotides) under uncultured bacterium. Its description in RNAcentral is "partial 16S ribosomal RNA". The record is from RNAcentral.
CUGCUGCCUUCCGUAGGAGUCUGGUCCGUGUCUCAGUACCAGUGUGGGGGACCUUCCUCUCAGAACCCCUACGCAUCGUCGCCUUGGUGGGCCGUUACCCCGCCAACUAGCUAAUGCGACGCAUGACCAUCCGUAGCCGGAAUCGCUUCCUUUAAACCCGAGGAGAUGCCUCCUCGGUUGUUACGCGGUAUUAGACGGAAUUUCUUCCGCUUAUCCCCCUGCUACGGGCAGGUUUCAUACGUGUUACUCACCCGUGCGCCGGUCGCCGGCGGGAG